This 257-nucleotide ribosomal RNA is filed under the name Escherichia coli. Its description in RNAcentral is "partial 16S ribosomal RNA". It matches the Rfam family "Bacterial small subunit ribosomal RNA", at positions 79 to 337 of the family's 1533-position model. The record is from RNAcentral. Lineage: Bacteria; Pseudomonadati; Pseudomonadota; Gammaproteobacteria; Enterobacterales; Enterobacteriaceae.
CUUGCUGCUUCGCUGACGAGUGGCGGACGGGUGAGUAAUGUCUGGGAAACUGCCUGAUGGAGGGGGAUAACUACUGGAAACGGUAGCUAAUACCGCAUAACGUCGCAAGACCAAAGAGGGGGACCUUCGGGCCUCUUGCCAUCGGAUGUGCCCAGAUGGGAUUAGCUUGUUGGUGGGGUAACGGCUCACCUAGGCGACGAUCCCUAGCUGGUCUGAGAGGAUGACCAGCCACACUGGAAUGACACACGGUCCACACU